Long non-coding RNA from Patella vulgata (common limpet), 1676 nucleotides. RefSeq lists it as uncharacterized. NCBI's taxonomy places the organism in Eukaryota, Metazoa, Mollusca, Gastropoda, Patellidae. The record is from RefSeq and is a predicted model, not a curated record. The transcript is spliced from 4 exons.
CGUUUUGCAUUAGCAUAAAUAGCGGUGAGAGUCAGCACGCGAACUGACAGUUGAUAAUAGACUGGGCUUGUGGGUUUUAACAGUUAUUUCUCUACGAAACGUUGACUAUUUCCGGUGUUAUUUAUUUGUUAAGAAUAUUGUUAAUACAGAAGUUUUAAUCAUGUCAGGACGAGUUAUCGGUGUUGCAGUUGAUGGAAGUGAGCAAAGUAAAAAUGCAUUGAAUUGGUGUAUUGAUAAUCUGUAUCGUGCAGGUGAUAGUAUUGUACUUAUUCACGUAGCCGAAUUCAACCUGAGUGUUGGUGUAUUGCCAAAUGUAGAUGCUAUAAGUAAAGUAGUAAAAGAACAAGAAGACAAAGUAUCAACACUCACUGGAGGACUAACAGAAAUGUUAAAGAAAAAGGGGAUUCCAGGUAAAGUUGUUCGUGAAACUGGCAAACCUGGAGAAGCUAUCAUUUCCGUGGCGCAAAAGGAAAAUGUCACGUCGUUGGUGAUGGGAACACGGGGCUUAGGAACAUUCAAACGUACGCUUUUAGGUAGCGUUAGUGAUUUUGUUCUACACAAUUCUAAUAUUCCAGUUACUAUUGUGCCUACUUCUUAACUACAUUACAUCGAUAAAUAACAAAUUUAUUUUAUCGCCGCCACACACUCACCGUAGAAUAUCAGUCUCUUAAUAAUUCUCAGAUGUAAUGACAAAAAUAUACUUUCAAUCAAAACAAAACCUAUGUUCAAAAUUCUCCAAUUUCAUUGUCUUAGAAAAUAUAUUUGAAUAAAAUUAGAAUGAAUACUUAAAUUCAUUCAUUAACUAACUGUCAGUACUAUAACCUGUGAGAUUUUGCAUUCUCUCAAUUAUUAUUACUUUUAACGUAACUGUCAUAUAUAGGAUACUAGACAAAAUAAAUUGUAAUGAUAAAGGCAUAAUUUGUUAAAAGCUAUUACUUUAUUCCGCAUUUGUAUGUUAUAAUGCAUUUAUUUGAUUUAUGUUUAUAAAAAAUUUCAAGAAUAUUUAUUGAAUACGCCUGUAAUUUGACAUAGCCUUAACAAUACUCUUUUAUUCGUUUUGGUAUAUUGUAUUUGCUUGAUAUCUAAUUUAUUAAUUUGCUGAAGCAUUCCAUACUCAAAUUCAAAAGUGUUGUGUGUUAAACUAGUAUUAAAUUUACAUUGGUGACAGUUAUUGGAUCAUUUUUUGAUACUCCGCAUGUAUUUGUUUUCUAAUAUAGUUUAUACUUGCCUGUUUCUGCCGUUAAAUUAUAAUUAAAUUAGGUCUUUUAUUUCGUUCCUUUUUCUGUCAUUUUCGCUACCAUUUUUCAAAUACAAUAGUAAGCGUAUGAAAUUAAUAAAAAAAAACGAAACGAAAUAAAGAUCUAAUUUUAUUAACUGUAACAUAACAGCUGGGUGUCAUCGGUCUUUUUCGCAAUUUUGAGAUACGGAAUCCACACCAAUGAUGCGAUUCGUUUCUGACCCCAAGGGCAGGUAAUUGACAGAUUCUCUUAAUUUUGUUUGAGAUUUUAAAUGUUAUUAUCUACCAUUAAAUGUAUUUCAGCGACAUUGUUUCUAUAUUAUCAGGUUUUUUAUUUUGGUGGCGUAUAAAUAAUAAGGUUAAUAGUUUUAUAUAAAUAUCCUGUUAAUAAUUAUUAUUAUCGAUUUUUAGUGCAAAUAAAAUCAUUUUCGAAUAACAA